GCUCCGGUGGCCAAAUGGUUAGAGCGUCCGCCUCUGAUGCGGGAGGUCGUGGGUUCGAUUCCCGGUCGAGUCA
Molecule: non-coding RNA, 73 nt
Organism: Potamilus streckersoni
Lineage: Eukaryota; Metazoa; Mollusca; Bivalvia; Unionida; Unionidae
Source: the annotation of a GenBank genome assembly